CCUACGGGAGGCAGCAGUGGGGGAUAUUGCACAAUGGGGGAAACCCUGAUGCAGCGACGCCGCGUGGGUGAAGAAGUAUUUCGGUAUGUAAAGCCCUAUCAGCAGGGAAGAAAGAAGACGGUACCUGACUAAGAAGCCCCGGCUAACUACGUGCCAGCAGCCGCGGUAAUACGUAGGGGGCGAGCGUUAUCCGGAUUCACUGGGUGUAAAGGGAGCGUAGACGGCCGUGCAAGCCAGGAGUGAAAGCCCGGGGCCCAACCCCGGGACUGCUCUUGGAACUGUGCGGCUGGAGUGCUGGAGGGGCAGGCGGAAUUCCUGGUGUAGCGGUGAAAUGCGUAGAUAUCAGGAGGAACACCGGCGGCGAAGGCGGCCUGCUGGACCGCGACUGACGUUGAGGCUCGAAAGCGUGGGGAGCGAACAGGAUUAGAUACCCCAGUAGUC
RNAcentral lists this ribosomal RNA (441 nucleotides) under uncultured bacterium. RNAcentral describes it as "partial 16S ribosomal RNA". It matches the Rfam family "Bacterial small subunit ribosomal RNA", at positions 338 to 795 of the family's 1533-position model. The record is from RNAcentral.